CAGAUGGAGAAACAGAAACAGAGAUCAAAUGAUUUUUGCAAGGCCACACAGGAAGCCCCCUAAAGAAUGUUCUGGAGGAGCCACUGGCUGAAAGGGUGUAGCAGCAUAGCUCCUGAGGAUAACCCAGGACAGCCUGUUCUCUGAUGUGCCUGCACUCUCUCCAGACUAAGAAAAGACUAGUUCUACAUCAUAUAGCCAUGGUGGACCAAACAUCAGUAUCCUAGAAGCAAUACGUCUCCCCAGUUUAUAAUUUUGCC
Molecule: long non-coding RNA, 257 nt
Organism: Mauremys mutica (yellowpond turtle)
Lineage: Eukaryota; Metazoa; Chordata; Testudines; Geoemydidae
Exons: 3
Source: RefSeq, a predicted model, not a curated record